Long non-coding RNA from Physella acuta, 479 nucleotides. RefSeq lists it as uncharacterized. The record is from RefSeq and is a predicted model, not a curated record. Lineage: Eukaryota; Metazoa; Mollusca; Gastropoda; Physidae.
UAGAAAUCACCCACGUUCGGCUGGCAAAUGGCUGUUUAUAAAACGUUGUGUGGUCUCAUUAUGUGAAGAUUCUUCACUUCCACAUAACGUAUUAACAAAAAAAGAGCAACGUAUAUUUUAAAACAUUUUGAGUUGUUAAGCAUUUACAUAAAACGCUGAUGAAAAUGAUGAUCACAUUGGUCCUGGUAGGUCUGGCGAGUCUUGUAGUGUACUCGGACAGUUGCUGCCUGAACAGGUACAAGCACUGUCGUGUAAGCAUCUUUGCAUUAGCGUGCUGUGAUGGCAUGUCGUGCCAGCCAGAUGCACCAUAUUCAGAGACUGGGAUCUGCAACUAUCCUUUCCGUGUGGGCGCAUCAGCCGAUGGAAAAUGAUAACAGAAAAGAUUGUGUACUUUACCACAAUAUUUAAGCAAGUAACGUGAACAGAAUGUCAAUACAUAGGCCUAUUCCCCCACAAUGCUUAAAUAAAUCAAUUUUCCU